UGUGGUGGAGAGCUUGUGUUGUAGGGAGGUGAGCGCGUUUUGGUCGCUGGUCGAGGAGCUCACCCCGCGGCCAGCAGAUGUAACGUGCCUAACGCAGCAUCCUGGAUUUGAGGCAUGCUGCCUGAAUCCGUUUGUGCUAAAAAUAGCAUACACACACUUCAGGCAGGAUCAUGGUCCCCUUCAAGCCAGCACGCACGAGCAAUACCGGUACACUGCGUACAGGCAAGCUAUACGCUGGGCUUAUGGCGUUUUAGGGAGGAGUAUAAGGAAGCCUCUACCCUCUUGUGUGGUUUCAACCAUCAGACAGCAAUUCCAGAAUGGUGACCAGACCUAUCAGGGCUUUCAAUGGCCUUGUUUGGAUUAAAAUGAAUAAAAA
Gadus morhua (Atlantic cod) is the source of this 376-nucleotide long non-coding RNA. RefSeq lists it as uncharacterized. Lineage: Eukaryota; Metazoa; Chordata; Actinopteri; Gadiformes; Gadidae. The transcript is spliced from 2 exons. The record is from RefSeq and is a predicted model, not a curated record.